UCCAUACUGGCUGCUCACUCACAUCCACAAAGUCCACAAAGUCUGACGGGACCCGUCUGUGAAAAAUGCUCGACUCAAACGAGGCCGUGCCAGCAUCAUGCCAGGUUAUCAAGCUGGAUUUUGACAAAUGUGUCAGAGAGAAGGGAGUGCAGGACUGCAAAGACCUGAUAGAUGCCUUCCAUGUCUGUGUGAAAACCCUGUCUGAGGAAUCCUAGCACAUGAUGAAGUACAUCUAAAUGAAAGUGUGAGCUGCAGCUGAACGUGGGGAAUACAAAAGACAAGACCUGGAGGAACAGGGGGACAGACUGAGCCUGGUGCUGUCAGCGCGAGGGAAGGAGACGUUCAGGACCAAACGAAAACUCCUCAUUCUGGCCUCAAAACCCACAACUGCAACUGAGAAACGUUGUCUGACCCUUCCUUCCAUUUUGAUAACACUUAACAUUACAGUACAGUAACAAUAUGGUAUAGUAAUCAAACUAUGAUUUAAACUUCAAGCACACAGUCCAUUCUAUUUGAUGUCCUGUUAUUAUGUUGUCUUCAGGACAAACACGUGGCAAGAGGUCGGUGAAUAUAACCAAGCAUUAGUGAAAAUCACUUCUAAACACUAGAAACUAAGCGCUAGAGUCCCACGAGACAAGAACUUGUGAAUGUCAUGUAGUGCAGCCUGGGAAAUGAUUAUAUGAUGGGCCAUGAUAAUAAAUUGUAAAGAUAAAUUAAACUGAGCACUGGCAUCUAGUGGGAAGUGCCGGUACUCAAAAUAGUACAAUUAAUAGUGGCUGUGAAUCAAUUAUACAUACAUAUUAACAAGAAUAUACAGUAUAUCAACAGUGAAUUGGAAUAAGUGAACUGGAUUUCACUUACAAUAUGUUUGCAUAUGCUAAUUGAAUGGAAUUAAUAUGUAGUAAUAUGUAGGUAAUACAUCUUAUUUCCAUGGGAAUCACCACAUAAUAACCCAUCCAAAUCAAACCGUUAUUAAGUCAAAUUUCACUGAGGAAUCGCACAUAAAAAGUACUCCCUCAUCCACUGAAUGGUCAUAUUUAUCAACAUAAAAUCUGAGAUUCUAAACCAAAAUAAUGUGGUGAAGAAGACCACAAAAAUUCAGUUGCAACUUAAAAAUUAGUCCCUAAAAUACUACUCAAAUAGUUCUUAAAAUUCUACGUCAGGUUUUUUUACUUAUCAAAAAAAAACGUCAGUUGAUGAAAAGAAAUACUCGUUGAAUCAUAGUUCCCAGAAUCCACCAUGCACAAAUACUAUUUAAAACAAUAAUACUAUGCUAUACACGUGAAGAUAUUGCACAGUCAAAAGUAACACGGUAUUACUGCAAUACUUCAAUACUGCAUUAUUUUAUUUUUAUUUACAUUACUUUUUUGGGGGGAUAAUAAUAACCAUACAAUCACUAUACCUUGUUACUGUGUUGUAAUAUAACAUUUUUGAUUCCCAUGUUUGCUUUCAUCUUAAUUAAAGGUCUAGUGUGUAAAAUGUGA
Molecule: long non-coding RNA, 1484 nt
Organism: Solea senegalensis (Senegalese sole)
Lineage: Eukaryota; Metazoa; Chordata; Actinopteri; Pleuronectiformes; Soleidae
Exons: 3
Source: RefSeq, a predicted model, not a curated record